AUUUCUUCGAGCGCCAGCUUUUGCAAAGAAGCUGACGGAUCGGUACUGAGGGCUGCCAUUUGCACUGGCUCCCUCGAAAUACAUCAGCUGGACUGCACAUGCUAGAGGAAGGAUAUACGUCCCUCUCCCUCCGGAUUUUGAUAAUUAUCAAAGGACGGACGUGAUGGAAACUUCUUGUCUCGACCAUGGUAGCUGGCUUUGAGCCGCCUCCCCCCGGGGAAGGAUUUUAUUC
This 232-nucleotide unclassified non-coding RNA is filed under the name uncultured Ustilaginaceae. RNAcentral describes it as "sequence contains ITS2". RNAcentral also lists the same sequence under 1 other name. Lineage: Eukaryota; Fungi; Basidiomycota; Ustilaginomycetes; Ustilaginales; Ustilaginaceae. The record is from RNAcentral.